GUUGAUUGGGAAACUCAUCAAAUUUUAAUGAAAUGCCGAGACAACCUCGCUUUCCAAUGGCGGGCCCCAGCCUCCUUUCGGGGAGGACGCAGCUUAUCCUUCGGGAUUCCUGCCAGGCGGAUUACAAAGGACUGUGAGAACUCAAAACCUGUCUUUCGGAGUUUCAUCGCAUCCUUUGAUGUGGCAU
RNAcentral lists this small RNA (187 nucleotides) under human gut metagenome. RNAcentral describes it as "Bacteroidales-1 6S-Bacteroidales RNA suggested". It matches the Rfam family "Bacteroidales-1 6S-Bacteroidales RNA suggested". RNAcentral also lists the same sequence under 1 other name. The record is from RNAcentral.